Non-coding RNA from Pelobates cultripes (western spadefoot toad), 216 nucleotides. The record is from the annotation of a GenBank genome assembly. NCBI's taxonomy places the organism in Eukaryota, Metazoa, Chordata, Amphibia, Anura, Pelobatidae.
GGGGGGAAUCUUGUCAACAAGACUGUAUGGCCCGUUUACGUCCCGUUUGCUUACUUAAUGUGCCUACAGCUAAACCACUUUCUGUUUCUGUCCCUCCUGUGUAUGCAGACCUCGCAUUGGUCUUUGAAAAAAGGGAAGCUGAUAAACUACCCCCACACCGGGAUUAUGAUUGUGCCAUAAACCUGUUACCUGGUACUAUACCUCCUAGGGGUAAGG